This 28-nucleotide non-coding RNA is filed under the name Homo sapiens (human). The record is from RNAcentral. Lineage: Eukaryota; Metazoa; Chordata; Mammalia; Primates; Hominidae.
UACAUAGGUGAAGAUUCCACAAUUGCCC